This 547-nucleotide ribosomal RNA is filed under the name Bifidobacterium longum. RNAcentral's name for it is "bacterial SSU rRNA". It matches the Rfam family "Bacterial small subunit ribosomal RNA", at positions 8 to 567 of the family's 1533-position model. The record is from RNAcentral. Lineage: Bacteria; Bacillati; Actinomycetota; Actinomycetes; Bifidobacteriales; Bifidobacteriaceae.
AGAGUUUGAUCCUGGCUCAGGAUGAACGCUGGCGGCGUGCUUAACACAUGCAAGUCGAACGGGAUCCAUCAAGCUUGCUUGGUGGUGAGAGUGGCGAACGGGUGAGUAAUGCGUGACCGACCUGCCCCAUACACCGGAAUAGCUCCUGGAAACGGGUGGUAAUGCCGGAUGUUCCAGUUGAUCGCAUGGUCUUCUGGGAAAGCUUUCGCGGUAUGGGAUGGGGUCGCGUCCUAUCAGCUUGACGGCGGGGUAACGGCCCACCGUGGCUUCGACGGGUAGCCGGCCUGAGAGGGCGACCGGCCACAUUGGGACUGAGAUACGGCCCAGACUCCUACGGGAGGCAGCAGUGGGGAAUAUUGCACAAUGGGCGCAAGCCUGAUGCAGCGACGCCGCGUGAGGGAUGGAGGCCUUCGGGUUGUAAACCUCUUUUAUCGGGGAGCAAGCGUGAGUGAGUUUACCCGUUGAAUAAGCACCGGCUAACUACCUGCCAGCAGCCGCGGUAAUACGUAGGGUGCAAGCGUUAUCCGGAAUUAUUGGGCGUAAAGGG